GAUGAACGCUGGCGGCGUGCUUAACACAUGCAAGUCGAACGGAAAGGCCCAAGCUUGCUUGGGUACUCGAGUGGCGAACGGGUGAGUAACACGUGGGUGAUCUGCCCUGCACUUCGGGAUAAGCCUGGGAAACUGGGUCUAAUACCGGAUAGGACCUCAUUUUGGAUGGUGUGGUGGAAAGUUUUUCGGUGUGGGAUGAGCUCGCGGCCUAUCAGCUUGUUGGUGGGGUAGUGGCUUAACAAGGCGUCGACGGGUAGCCGGCCUGUGAGGGUGUACGGCCAAGUGGGGACUGAGAGACGGAGCAGAAUGGUAAGGGAGGCAGCAGGGGGGAGGAUGGGAGAAUGGGCGGAAGCGUGAGGCAGCAAAGAGGGGGGAGGGAUGAAGGCAGGCGGGGUGUAAACGGAGGGCGCAGGUGAAGAAGCGGGAGUGAAGGUAAUGGGUAAAGAAGAACCGGAUAAAUACGUG
This 465-nucleotide ribosomal RNA is filed under the name uncultured bacterium. Its description in RNAcentral is "partial 16S ribosomal RNA". The stretch from base 18 to 365 matches the Rfam family "Bacterial small subunit ribosomal RNA", at positions 45 to 394 of the family's 1533-position model. The record is from RNAcentral.